Passer domesticus (house sparrow) is the source of this 4333-nucleotide long non-coding RNA. RefSeq lists it as uncharacterized. NCBI's taxonomy places the organism in Eukaryota, Metazoa, Chordata, Aves, Passeriformes, Passeridae. The record is from RefSeq and is a predicted model, not a curated record. The transcript has 3 exons.
CAGGUACAAUGACACUGUUAAUUUGAAAAUAAAUCUAACUUGUUUGUUGAAAAUUGUGUUGUAGACAUUAAUACCUCCUUGUUGAAACCGAGUGAUUUAGAGUUAAGAACCAGUAACAUGCAAGAAACUUCUAGUAAUAAUUUCUCUCAUGGAACAACUUGUAUGUUACAUGCCAAAUUAUUAUUUUUCUGCUUUGUUAAAAAAAAAAAAAAGGAAGAGUAACUUCCCUCAAGAGAUAAAACUGGUUUUUAUUUGCUUGAAGUGACAGGUGAAGAGAAGCAAAAAGACACUCAUGGUAAUGCUAGAAAUAGAAUCCAGGUCGUGCAGUACAUUGAACCCUUCUCUAACGUGUGUGUACUACUUUUACAAAAACUGGGAAGUUGGUGGGAAUAGCAACAGUGUAAUGAAAGCAAAAUUGGCCUUCUUUGCCUCAUACUGGGAAUUUGCCUACUUGCCAAGAACCCAGUGUUUUCAAGGACAUUUAGCUCCUACAUCAAGGACUUCUAUGAAAGUCUAAACAGGUUAAAUCAGCAUGAAGGAAAAAGGAGUGAUGUGAUGUCACUGAUCUGUAAGCAGAUCUCAGCCUCAGAACUAAUAUUAUGGUUUAAGGCUUUUUACAUGAGAUGAAAAGACACAUUCCUGAGACUUGAGCCUGUAAUUUCAGGCACCCUGUGCAGCCAUUCAGGCCCAUGUGAAGUGAGUGGGUAUAAAAUGCUGUUAAAUCACCUACUGCAAACCAGGCCCCUAGAGCUGAGCAUUGCAAUGGUACUAUGUGGUCGACUUUAUAAUAAUAGAAGGCUACUGAAGAGCCAGUGGUACCAUGAGAUAGACACUGGCUACAUUUUCAAAGAGGAAAUGGAUGAAUACUCUCUUUUUUUUUGGCAUUAAGUGGCGACUACAUGUACAUUUACAUAUCUGCACCUAUUAGUUCUUUUUUUCCUAAGGCAAGCCAGGUAUAUCUCUAGACAAAUCCAAUCCACUUUUGAACAAGUCCACAGGAUCCUGAGCUUGUGCCAAUUAAGUUUUAUUCCUCUCUUUUCAGUCCUACUAGUAGAAAUUAGAAGUUAGCAGACUUGCCACUUGGAAAGAGACUGCAGAAUCAAUUUCCCUUAUCUCUGCAUUGCCCUGGGGACUGAAUGUAGCUUAUAACCUCUAUAAACUUUACUUUCUUAAGAUUUGCUUAUCGUUUAUAUAUAAAGGCUGGAUUUUUCCCCCUAGAUUGGUUUCCCUGUCCCUGUGUCAGCCAAUACUCCUUGAAAAUGUAAACAUGAACUUUAGUCUACAGCUGAGUGUUGGGAACCACAUGCUAAGUAGAUUUAUUGUCACAAGCCAACGUCUUUAACAAAUCAUUUUUCUUUUUGACAGUGAUGCAAAUACGGGUGGGUGAGUGAAAUGUGCCCUCCUGUCCCCUUGCUGGUUGACAGCAGAAGUUACUGCAGGGGUAUUUCCAGUGUUUCAGCUAAUGAGGCUGAGGGUUGCGAUGGAUGCGUGGAGUGCAGAGUAGCUCUUAUUUUAGCAAGUUAUCAAUGAUUUCCAUCCUGUGCAAGUAAUUAAGUCUGAGUAUUUUUGGAGACAGUUUGAUCUGUCUCUGAUUGGGGGAUUUGAGUCACUGUGGGGAUCAGAACAGGGGAAGCAGGACAUAAUAAAAAUAAUAGCAAGAGGCAAAAAGGUCAAGUGAUGAAUGAAAACAGUUCAUGGUGAUUUUUAAACUCAGAAACAAGUGGCUUUUUCAUGCUGUUUUUUGUUGUAAUGUAUUUUAAUCUGUAGACACAUUCUCACUUUGUGACUCCUUAGCAGAAAGAGCUUUAAGCAGCAGCAGCAGCAGCUCACUGGUAUGAAAGACAAAUCUGAGUGAGAAACGUGGCUCCCUGAGGAGGAGAAAACCCUUCAUCCAGGUAAUGUCCCAUUGAAUUAAUAUGUGUUUUGGGAAGGAAGAAAUUUGUAGAGGUAAAAAUAAGGAAAAAAACUUCAGCAUUUCUACCUUUCACUGAUCCCUGUGGUACCCCAGCAUGUGUGACCAGGUGCUGACAUAGAGUAGAAACCCAGGAAAAGCUGGGAGAAAUUUUCCUAGGGUUUCAGAGCAGAGCCAAGUCCAGCUGGACUGGUACCUCAGACAAAUUAAGGAGAAAAGGUAAAACUCAGGAGAUCCUCACAUGUUGCAUUAAUUUUUCAAACAUCCAUGUCCUGGUUUUUAGGGGUAAACUGCAACUACAGCUCCCAGUAAAGCUCAGAGGAUGAGAGCUGAGGUGCUUAUUCAGCAGAAGAGCUUCAGUAGAAGGCCAAGUAUUUUGUGAUAACAUGACAGACAAACACAAGGAAGUGUCUUUCAUGCAGAAAGCAUUUAUAUGCCUAUAAUAGAGGUAUUUCCAGCUCCUUCAGUAUUUUUCAUUACAUUACCAGAGCUGCUGUGUGGAAACUGCCUGCAACAAUGAGGGCUUUGUCUAGGAAUCCCACCCCCUCAGCUUCCAGGUUCAGCUAACAGGGAUUUCUUACCAAUAGAGAGCUCAAAGGAAAUUCAUCUGAAUAACCAGAGGUAGAGUGAGCCCUGAAAAAUUGAAAUACUAAGCAUCAAAAUUAGUCCAUAAGGGAAAAGUCAUACAAACUGUUUCUUUAUCAGAUGGAAAAGCUGUUGACAGAAAUAUGUGCCUGGCAAGUCAGAGAUUUUGGAAAACUGGGAAUCUGCACAUUGUGGACUUUGAUGUAAGCAUAGAAUUCAUUUGAAGAGAUCCAAAGGUUAUUCGAGGGUUUGUUAAAAUCAGAUGAGUAAAUAUACAUUAAGUAUUAAUCUUGUGAGUAAAACCAGUAUGUUGAAAGACUUACAGAAGCAUUGAAAAAAUUUGCAUUGUGGCCAAAAUUGGGUUGUCAAAUUAAUGAAAUCCCUUUUACACAUGUAAUCAACCAAAAAUAACUAACCUGCAGUAUUACAUUAAAAAAGAAAACUUCAAGAGCCUCACACACUUAAACUUUCUAACAUUUACAUUUGCAUUGUUAAAAGGGGAGUGUGAAAAUUAUUGUGAACAUGAGCAAAGUUCUGAAAAAGGCCAAGAAUGAUUCAUUGACUUGUCUCCAAACCAGUGAGAUUCAUAGGAAAUUACUGAAAUAUUUUGAGGACGAGGCAAGAGCUUGUUUCAGCCAUCCUCAGAGGUAACAUCACCACAGAAAGGAGGUAGAUAUCGAGAGGGAAGGAAGCAUGAGUAUAUCAGCAUUUUUGCCCUUUUCUCCCUGUGACAUUCCCACAAUUAACACAGCACAGUUCAUUAGAUCCUGAAAGGAUUGCUAGACACUGUCCUGAGCAGUGUCUCCCUGCAGCCCUAUUAGAUUAGAUAUGCUCAGCCAAUUAAAUAAUCAGCCUCCAGUUUUGUGGAAACCACAAAUAAAAUCCAGAUACAAGGCACAAGGAUGCUCUUGAGUUGCAGGAACUGAAAGAGCCCUGUCACAUACUGAGUUGUUAAACCUGACUGGACAUCCCAUGAAGAAAAAUAAGCAAGAAAUUUUGUGUUCCAAGGCACAAAACUUGCUUGUUCCCAUGUGAGUUCCCUGCUUAUAUUCCUUUACUUUGCCCAUCUUUUUUCUUUUCCCUCUGCUGCCAUCCCCACGCAAUGCAGCAGUAAUUAUCAGUAGCUCUUACUGAGGCAUCUGGACCCAGUUCAGCAGCAACAGAAUAUGAUUCAAACGAUGGUAAUUCUAUGGAGCACUCCUGCAAGGCUCUGAUCAGUGCAUCCUGUUUGUAGCUGUUUAAUAGAAAUAUCCUCUCGUGUCUAUUUAAAAUCAGAAGUGAUUUUUUAAUACUGGCCCAAAAUUGUGAAGAUUUGUGAAUACUAUUGAUUUAUUCAGCUGCUGAAUUGAAAUAGAAAUGGGAGAGGUAAUGAGAAUGAAUGUGAGCAGCAUUGUGCACAAAAACAAUUGACAGUUCAAGAGAAACAGACCCAACCAGAGCAUAAACACAGCCUUAAAUGUUAUUAAAAUAUUAAACCAGUACAUUGGGUCAUCCAUGCCAUUUGAUUACUUCAACAUUUGCAACCACAUGGGACAAGGACUUGACAUGAAGGAUGGAGUGGCUUUUGCACAAUGGACUAUGCAAAUUGAAAAAUUGGCCAAGUGCAUGACAGACAAUUUGCCUUCCUUUGAAGCAUCUUGUGUUUGCCAAGCAGAGGGGACAGUAUUGGACUUGAUGGAUCAUGGGCUUAAUGAAGCAUGGCAGAUCCUAUGUUUCUAUUAAAACUGACUGGCAGAGGGCAUUGUUCCAGACACAAAUUUGGGAUUGAAAAUAAAUGUAUAUAUUCUUCUGAGCCUUGCCUAUAUAAAAAAAUUACAAGCUGCAUUAUUUUUGUUA